AUGCUUGGAAUAAUCAAUGAAAGGAUAAUUUUUGAAGGUACAGUUCCCGGUCUGUUGACAUUAUAUCACACAUUUUACUUACCCUCACUUCCCAAAUCUUUUCCAUCAACUUUUCUCUAUGCUAUAUUGGCAGUAUCCGCUGGGCAACCUUCAUUGAUCUCUGAUGAUGCGGAUGCUGUUGCUCUUGUUGGAACUAGUAAGGACUUGGCAAAACAGAUAAAUCAGAAGGAAGUGCAUUGGGGGUUGCUUGAAGAUUCAGUGGAGGAGCGUAUGGAGAAAGCACUCUCAGAUUCUGAUAAAACUGAAGCAGACAGCAAGGAUGCAGAUGCAGAAGAUAAUAACAAGAAAAAAUCCUCAGAAGGUGGAAAGCAGGGUGGGUCUCUUACUAAAAAGCUCAAAAAGGAUAAGCUUGUAGGUGCAACAGGGAAAAAUACCAAAUCCGAAACAAGCAUGAUUUCUGCGGCACCUCGUGUGAAACCGGAGCUAACCCUACCAGCGAUGCCUGUUGAAGUUGAACAAUCAAUGCUUGACGACCUAAGAAACCGUGUACAAUUGAAUAACUUGGCAUUGCCAUCUGUUAGCUUCUACACAUUCCUUAAUACACAUAACGGAUUAAACUGCUCAUCGAUCUCAAACGAUGGAUCAUUGGUUGUUGGUGGGUUCUCAGACUCAUCAGUAAAGGUUUGGGAUAUGGCAAAGAUUGGUCAACCCGCCAAAACAUGUUAG
RNAcentral lists this ribosomal RNA (726 nucleotides) under Triticum aestivum (bread wheat). Its description in RNAcentral is "partial small subunit ribosomal RNA". The record is from RNAcentral. Lineage: Eukaryota; Viridiplantae; Streptophyta; Magnoliopsida; Poales; Poaceae.